Molecule: ribosomal RNA, 640 nt
Filed under: Bacillus sp. G32
Lineage: Bacteria; Bacillati; Bacillota; Bacilli; Caryophanales; Bacillaceae
Description: bacterial SSU rRNA
Rfam family: Bacterial small subunit ribosomal RNA
Source: RNAcentral
CCUCUAGAGAUUAGAGUUUGAUCCUGGCUCAGGACUGAACGCUGGCGGCGUGCCUAAUACAUGCAAGUCGAGCGAACUGAUUAGAAGCUUGCUUCUAUGACGUUAGCGGCGGACGGGUGAGUAACACGUGGGCAACCUGCCUGUAAGACUGGGAUAACUUCGGGAAACCGAAGCUAAUACCGGAUAGGAUCUUCUCCUUCAUGGGAGAUGAUUGAAAGAUGGUUUCGGCUAUCACUUACAGAUGGGCCCGCGGUGCAUUAGCUAGUUGGUGAGGUAACGGCUCACCAAGGCAACGAUGCAUAGCCGACCUGAGAGGGUGAUCGGCCACACUGGGACUGAGACACGGCCCAGACUCCUACGGGAGGCAGCAGUAGGGAAUCUUCCGCAAUGGACGAAAGUCUGACGGAGCAACGCCGCGUGGGUGAUGAAGGCUUUCGGGUCGUAAAACUCUGUUGUUAGGGAAGAACAAGUACGAGAGUAACUGCUCGUACCCUGACGGUACCUAACCAGAAAGCCACGGCUAACUACGUGCCAGCAGCCGCGGUAAUACGUAGGUGGCAAGCGUUAUCCGGAAUUAUUGGGCGUAAAGCGCGCGCAGGCGGUUUCUUAAGUCUGAUGUGAAAGCCCACGGCUCAACCGU